UACGGGGGGGGCAAGCGUUGUUCGGAAUUACUGGGCGUAAAGGGCUCGUAGGUGGCCAAUUAAGUCAGACGUGAAAUCCCCAGGCUCAACUUGGGAACUGCGUCCGAUACUGGUUGGCUUGAAUUCGGGAGAGGGAUGCAGAAUUCCAGGUGUAGCGGUGAAAUGCGUAGAUAUCUGGAGGAAUACCGGUGGCGAAGGCGGCAUCCUGGACCGAGAUUGACACUGAUGAGCGAAAGCCAGGGGAGCAAACGGG
RNAcentral lists this ribosomal RNA (253 nucleotides) under uncultured bacterium. RNAcentral describes it as "partial 16S ribosomal RNA". It matches the Rfam family "Bacterial small subunit ribosomal RNA", at positions 524 to 776 of the family's 1533-position model. The record is from RNAcentral.